CAGCAGCCGCGGUAAUACGUAGGUGGCAAGCGUUGUCCGGAAUUAUUGGGCGUAAAGGGCUCGCAGGCGGUUCCUUAAGUCUGAUGUUAAAGCCCCCGGCUCAACCGGGGAGGGUCAUUGGAAACUGGGAAACUUGAGUGCAGAAGAGGAGAGUGGAAUUCCACGUGUAGCGGUGAAAUGCGUAGAGAUGUGGAGGAACACCAGUGGCGAAGGCGACUCUCUGGUCUGUAACUGACGCUGAGGAGCGAAAGCGUGGGGAGCGAACAGGAUUAGAUACCCCGGUAGUCCCUGUCUCUUAUAC
RNAcentral lists this ribosomal RNA (301 nucleotides) under uncultured bacterium. RNAcentral's name for it is "partial 16S ribosomal RNA". It matches the Rfam family "Bacterial small subunit ribosomal RNA", at positions 509 to 807 of the family's 1533-position model. The record is from RNAcentral.